This is a long non-coding RNA of Apodemus sylvaticus (European woodmouse), 880 nucleotides long. RefSeq lists it as uncharacterized. The transcript has 5 exons. The record is from RefSeq and is a predicted model, not a curated record. Lineage: Eukaryota; Metazoa; Chordata; Mammalia; Rodentia; Muridae.
UUGAGUGGGGAUGCCAGGGUUUCUUGGUGUAGCCCUGGCUGUCCUAGAGCUCCCCCUGGAGACCAAGGACGCCUUGAACUCAGAGAUCCUCUUCUGGGAUUAAAGGUGCUUAUGAGCAUUGCUAGACGUGAAGCCUGCCCACUACAGCCAGGCUUACUGAUCCCAGCAUCCUGGCUCUCCGUCCUCCCCUCCCCACUCUCCUUAUCCCCAGGCCUCUUAUAGUUACCCUGAUGUUGGGAAGGGCCUGCCGCUGCCUCACCAAGCCCGCCGGCGAACCCGCUGAUGCAGAGGCCACCUGCCUGAGUCUUGAUCGCAGACUUGAGCUCGUGAUUCUCCCGAAUGAGCCGUACCAGCUUCUUCAGUUCCUCAUUUUCCCGCACCAGCCUCUCUAUCUGAUGCCGGAGCCCCUCAUAACUUGGAGUCGGAUGAGACACGACGGAAAAGUAAUGACGUGAAAGUCGUUGGUGACACGUGGAAGACUUCUUGGGUGGAGCGAUGCGGCCAACUCCAGAUCCUCAGGUCUGGCAAUCUAGUUUACCUGGGUUCCUGGGCCGUGCAAACAGGUCAGAGAUGUUGUCUGCAGGCAGCUGGAGGUCCAGCAGGACUGAGAGGAAUCUCCCAGCAUCCACGUGGGCUUUUCAUCCCUCCCAGGCUCCUCAGGAAUUCACUGGGAACAAAUCUUCUGUGCUGUGUCCCUUCUUGAAUGCUGAGUCACAUCUACUCCCUCUGCUUUCCGGUCACUGGGUUUGCACAGUUUGUCCCCAUUCAAAUUUGCCUUAUUAGAUUCAGUUCAGCGUUCUGGCUUGGCGAUCCCUCAGGGAUCUCUGCUCCCCUCUUGGCUUGGAAGUUUUGCAACUUCAGCAAACUUGCUGAACCUUUU